This 496-nucleotide ribosomal RNA is filed under the name uncultured bacterium. RNAcentral's name for it is "partial 16S ribosomal RNA". It matches the Rfam family "Bacterial small subunit ribosomal RNA", at positions 29 to 507 of the family's 1533-position model. The record is from RNAcentral.
AUGAGCGCUGGCGGCGUGCCUAAUCCAUGCAAGUCGAGCGAACGGACGAGAAGCUUGCUUCUCUGAUGUUAGCGGCGGACGGGUGAGUAACACGUGGAUAACCUACCUAUAAGACUGGGAUAACUUCGGGAAACCGGAGCUAAUACCGGAUAAUAUUUUGAACCGCAUGGUUCAAAAGUGAAAGACGGUCUUGCUGUCACUUAUAGAUGGAUCCGCGCUGCAUUAGCUAGUUGGUAAGGUAACGGCUUACCAAGGCAACGAUGCAUAGCCGACCUGAGAGGGUGAUCGGCCACACUGGAACUGAGACACGGUCCAGACUCCUACGGGAGGCAGCAGUAGGGAAUCUUCCGCAAAGGGCGAAAGCCUGACGGAGCAACGCCGCGUGAGUGAUGAAGGUCUUCGGAUCGUAAAACUCUGUUAUUAGGGAAGAACAUAUGUGUAAGUAACUGUGCACAUCUUGACGGUACCUAAUCAGAAAGCCACGGCUAACUACGUG